CCUCUUAUUUCGUGUACGCAAAUAAAAGGGUUCUCCACUGACGAAAUGAAAUAGCGACAACUCGUGAAUGAAUCCCACCUCGCUCUUCCCUUUGCUAAUUACCAACCACUCGGAUAUGGUAUGUAGCGAGCUUUUGUCCGCGGAGAUAACAGGGUUUUGUUAUACAGUAAUCCAAAAGAGUAAUUAGUUUUGGUCUGGGCAACCGAUUAAAUAGGAACGGAUCUAUUUUCAAGCAUUAUCAUUACCAAAUACCAAAUGAUCGCCUAACGAAUUGGCAAAACGAGCUGAAAACAGAAGGCAUCUGUAACAAGAACAAGGAACAACUUAUGGGUGUCGUGGCCUAUAGCGAGUGACGUUGAUUUGGGAUCUGUUAGGAAUCACGCUAAGUCGAUGAAGGUUUCGCCCCAGGCUUAGAAAGUACUCAUCAGUCUCGAAAUCAUCAUCGCAAGGAAUGUUGCGUGGGAAGGACUGCGGACGGUCUGGACUUAUCUUAGGAUAGCUUGUGGAAAUCUGGAAGCCCUAUCAAAACAUAUGAGAUAUUAGUUAACAGCUAUAUGUCACCAUAACUGGAGACUUGAUAAGAAAAAAAGUAAUAAUAUCAAGCAUUUGUGUAUCAAAAAAUGUGUCAAAAACUUGACAAAAGGCUAGGACGGAGAAGGAGGAGAGAUCACCACUUCAUGAUCAGGCUAUACGAUAGAGAUCGCGUGACCAAUUCAGCGUGAUCGCAGCAUGAUCAAGAUUGUACUUACCCGUGAGAGCCUCUGUGCGACAAGUUCGAGUAACGCCUGCUCCACAGUGGUGGGGUGACGACUACGCCUUAGUUCUUCCAGCCUAAAAGCAAACAACCACUAUCUAUUAUACAAUAUUCUUUAGUAAAUUACUCAUCAUAUAAAUCAUAACUCAAGAUUGCUUAUUGACUAAAGUGCGACAGGCUGAUUAGUACUGUUAAAAGUUUUUCAAAUUGAAAUAUCCGAAUCAAACUAACAAUAUUAGUGGAAGAUCCACAGGGAAAAUAAACCUCGUUUUCACCUUU
Molecule: long non-coding RNA, 1033 nt
Organism: Nematostella vectensis (starlet sea anemone)
Lineage: Eukaryota; Metazoa; Cnidaria; Anthozoa; Actiniaria; Edwardsiidae
Exons: 2
Source: RefSeq, a predicted model, not a curated record